RNAcentral lists this ribosomal RNA (468 nucleotides) under uncultured bacterium. RNAcentral's name for it is "partial 16S ribosomal RNA". It matches the Rfam family "Bacterial small subunit ribosomal RNA", at positions 28 to 507 of the family's 1533-position model. The record is from RNAcentral.
GACGAACGCUGGCGGCGUGCUUAACACAUGCAAGUCGAACGGAAAGGCCCUGCUUUUGUGGGGUGCUCGAGUGGCGAACGGGUGAGUAACACGUGAGUAACCUGCCCUUGACUUUGGGAUAACUUCAGGAAACUGGGGCUAAUACCGGAUAGGAUCUCCUGCUGCAUGGUGGGGGUUGGAAAGUUUCGGCGGUUGGGGAUGGACUCGCGGCUUAUCAGCUUGUUGGUGGGGUAGUGGCUUACCAAGGCUUUGACGGGUAGCCGGCCUGAGAGGGUGACCGGGCACAUGGGGACUGAGAGACGGCCCAGACGCGUACGGGAGGCAGCAGUGGAGAAUAUUGCAGAAUGGGCGGAAGCCUGAUGCAGAAACGCCGCGUGCGGGAUGACGGCCUUCGGGUUGUAAACCGCUUUCGCCUGUGACGAAGCGUGAGUGACGGUAAUGGAUAAAGAAGCACCGGCUAACUACGUG